ACCACGCCUCCUCCAAGUCCCAGCGAGUCCGCGUGCAACCUGUCCUGACUCUAGCCGCCUCUUCAGCUCGCCAUGGAUCCCAACUGCUCCUGCGCCGCCGGUAAGAGGCUGGGGAUGCCCAGUGUAGACUGUAGCGCUAGAGAAGCAAUUUCUGACCCCUCUUUCUUUCUCUGGUCACUCAAUUUCAGGACAGGAGUAGCUCCUUCCCAAAGAGUUUUGGGGUAUCUUUCUCUCCAUUCUAGGUUAUUCGGAGCCCCCUUUUUACCGUUAAGGAGAUCUGAGUUAAUGGCUUGCUCAAGUUCCCAGGAAUCGGUUGUGGACAGAGGAACUCGGCCCCAGGCUCUUAGUACGCCGUCCCUCGUUCAGGUAUCCAGGGACCGUUCUCACCUCUGUCUUUUCUCCUUGCAGGUGACUCCUGCACCUGCGCCGGCUCCUGCAAAUGCAAAGAGUGCAAGUGCACCUCCUGCAAGAAAAGCUGCUGCUCCUGCUGCCCUGUGGGCUGUGCCAAGUGUGCCCAGGGCUGCAUCUGCAAAGGGGCGUCGGACAAGUGCAGCUGCUGCGCCUGAUGCUGGGACAGCCCUGCUCCCAGAUGUAAAUAACGCGACCUCUACAAACCUGGAUUUUUAAUGUACAACCCUGACCCUGACCGUUUGCUGUAUUCCUUUUUCUAUGAAAUAAUGUGAAUGAU
This 688-nucleotide small RNA is filed under the name Pongo abelii (Sumatran orangutan). RNAcentral's name for it is "processed transcript". The record is from RNAcentral. Lineage: Eukaryota; Metazoa; Chordata; Mammalia; Primates; Hominidae.